UCUCACCAUCGCUGAUGCACACAAAAGUUGUGGGCAGAUGCCCCCUGCCCAUGGAGGUGCGCUGCAGACAGA
Molecule: non-coding RNA, 72 nt
Organism: Chlorocebus sabaeus (green monkey)
Lineage: Eukaryota; Metazoa; Chordata; Mammalia; Primates; Cercopithecidae
Source: RefSeq, a predicted model, not a curated record